This 893-nucleotide ribosomal RNA is filed under the name Midotis lingua. Its description in RNAcentral is "partial large subunit ribosomal RNA". It matches the Rfam family "Eukaryotic large subunit ribosomal RNA", at positions 84 to 978 of the family's 3401-position model. The record is from RNAcentral. Lineage: Eukaryota; Fungi; Ascomycota; Pezizomycetes; Pezizales; Helvellaceae.
UAACGGCGAGUGAAGCGGCAGAAGCUCAAAUUUGAAAUCUGGGGUCGCCGACCCCCGAGUUGUAAUUCGAGAGGCGACUUCCGGGGGGGGUCCCGGCACGUGUUCCUUGGAACAGGACGUCAGAGAGGGUGAGAAUCCCGUUCACUGCCGCCCGCGCCCCCCCCUCUGUGAAGCGCCUUCGACGAGUCGAGUUGUUUGGGAAUGCAGCUCCAAGUGGGUGGUAAAUUUCAUCUAAGGCUAAAUACUGGCGGGAGACCGAUAGCGCACAAGUAGAGUGAUCGAAAGAUGAAAAGCACUUUGAAAAUAGAGUUAAAAAGUACGUGAAAUUGUUGAAAGGGAAGCGCUUGANACCANACUCAGGGCGGGGCAAACAGCCUUGCCCCCAACCGGGCGGCGCACUUGCCCCGACCCUGGGCCAGCAUCAGUUGUGGUGGUGGGACAAAGGCGCCGGGAAUGUGCCUCCCCCUCGGGGGAGCGUUAUAGCCCGACGUCGGAUGCCGCCGACCACGACUGAGGACCGCGCUUCGGCAAGGAUGCUGGCUUAAUGGUCUUCAGCGACCCGUCUUGAAACACGGACCAAGGAGUCUAACAUCUAUGCGAGUGUUUGGGCAUCAAACCCUUACGCGCAAUGAAAGUGAGCCGAGGUGGGAACCCCCCCGAUGGGAGGGAGCACCAUCGACCGAUCCCGAUGUUCUCGGAAGGAUUUGAGUAGGAGCAUAGCUGUUGGGACCCGAAAGAUGGUGAACUAUGCCUGAAUAGGGUGAAGCCAGAGGAAACUCUGGUGGAGGCUCGCAGCGGUUCUGACGUGCAAAUCGAUCGUCAAAUUUGGGUAUAGGGGCGAAAGACUAAUCGAACCAUCUAGUAGCUGGUUCCUGCCGAAGUUUCCCUCAGGA